GCCAGGUGUGGUGGCACAUGCCUGUAAUCCCAGCAGCUAGCUUGGGAGGCUAAGGCAGGAGAAUUACGAGUUCAAAGCCAGCCUCAGCAAGGGUGAGAUGCUAAGCAACUCAGUGAGACCCUGUCUCUA
Molecule: small RNA, 129 nt
Filed under: Marmota monax (woodchuck)
Lineage: Eukaryota; Metazoa; Chordata; Mammalia; Rodentia; Sciuridae
Source: RNAcentral